Molecule: ribosomal RNA, 253 nt
Filed under: uncultured bacterium
Lineage: Bacteria
Description: partial 16S ribosomal RNA
Rfam family: Bacterial small subunit ribosomal RNA
Source: RNAcentral
UACGAAGGGGGCAAGCGUUGUUCGGAAUUACUGGGUGUAAAGCGCACGUAGGUGGCUGAGUCAGUCGAUUGUGAAAGCCCUGGGCUUAACCUGGGAAUUGCAGUCGAUACUACUCAGCUAGAGUAUGGGAGAGGGUAGUGGAAUUCCCGGUGUAGCGGUGAAAUGCGUAGAUAUCGGGAAGAACAUCAGUGGCGAAGGCGGCUGCCUGGCCCAAUACUGACGCUCAGGUGCGACAGCGUGGGGAGCAAACAGG